Long non-coding RNA from Triticum aestivum (bread wheat), 3196 nucleotides. RefSeq lists it as uncharacterized. The record is from RefSeq and is a predicted model, not a curated record. NCBI's taxonomy places the organism in Eukaryota, Viridiplantae, Streptophyta, Magnoliopsida, Poales, Poaceae. The transcript has 3 exons.
AACAAACAGGUAAAUCGAACAUUUAAAUGAAAGUACACCGAAUGCCACUCUGCGUUGGCAUAAUUACAAAAGACAGGGUGGCAAAAAGAAUACAAUGAACUCUGCAUUCUUAGAUUUAGUAUAGUUUAAAAUUAUGUGCUUUCAAUUAUAAUUCAUCAAAAGGACAUCCAACGACAUUAGGCUACUGUAGCACUACAAUACUACAAAUAUAAUUUCCUGCAUGACAGCAAUAAUUUCCGGCUGGCUAAUUAUGUCUCACUAGUAUGUGACACUGAAUGGCACAUGCAGGUUCAGUGCAUCUAAGAGUAUUUCAGAGACUGGUCAACAAAAUAGCAGGAAUAACUUGUUAAACAAUACAGCAGCACCACAUGCCAACACACAGGUGGGCAACCAGCUGAAAUCUUAGCUUAGCAUAUGGGCAUCCUACCUGGACAACCUCGUGACUCAAAGAGCCUUGACUAAUUUUUACAUAUAUAAUUUUAUCUUUAGUGGAAUAGUGCUGCAAUUAUAUGCUUCUGCAUGCUUUAAGUAACCUUUGUGCGCUUUAUGCCUUUGUCUUACCACAGCACAAUUGACAAUUCACACUCGGUGUAACUUUUAGGCUGAACAGUUCUUAUAAGUGUUGACCUUCUCACCAUCUAUACUGUAUUCCUAGACAAACUGUUUCCUCUAGAUAGCUAGAACCGUAGAAGAAAAUAUUUAGCGCUUUGUUGAGUUUUCGCUAACAGUAUUUUAUUAAUAUUGGUUGAAUCUGCAUGCCAGUUAACGUCAUAUCAAGUUCAGGAAUGAAUUAUCAAGUGGACAAACAGAGGGUACUGCUAGUGAAUUCUUCGGAACACAAAAAUGUGAUGAUCAGUGUCAUUUCAAACCUACAGAGCUGACUGCAUGAAGAACCUUGUGUGGAUGCAACAUACAGAGGGAGUUCAACAAAACAAAGAGAUCGUGGAACCAGAAGAGUACGACGCAAUGAUGGUUUCUCUUGCAAACUAGCCAAAGUCUACUGAACUGUUACAAAUAUGCUCCUCACUGUGCAGCUGAUUCUGCAACACUGAAGGCUUUUUGUGUUGCUUUACAUCUUCACAGAGUAUGUAUGCAUGCAUGGAAGCAGAAGGAAGCAAGUGCUGCAAAAAAACCUCAAGAGACUAAAAGGAGCCAUUGCUUACCUCCCCAUCUGCCGCUUCUCGCGCUUCGUCUUCCGUCGCCAUUGCUCCAGAUCAGGAUGGGAAGAAGGAAAGAAAGAGAAAAAAAAGAAAGAAAGGAAGAAACAAAGAAAGAAUGGGAGGGAGAGAGGGGGAGACAGAGGCCUCUUAACAUAAAAGUCUUGUGGGUGCUUGAAAAGCUGGUGGUCUUUAUACCGACCUUUCCUCUGUCAGACGUAUUUUCUAUUGCCGAGCAGCGGUUAGGAAAGCAGCGACACACUGACAGUGCUCUUGACAGUGAGUUGGUACUCGCUUAAUCAGCCACAAGCCUUGAUUAAGUGGGAGAGUUUAUCCCUGAAAUGGCAGAUCAGUGAACAUGGAGGCUCAGCAUUAGGUGCCAAAAUGCCAACUGGUGCUUGAGGCACAUGGUACUGGUAGCUGGACCAGUGCGUUUACAGUCUUGCAUCUCCGGGACCCACAGAACCUUUUCCCUGAGGAAUUAUUGGGUCCAUAAUUGAUCGAAGAUUAUCUCGUUCUUGGAUCCUAUCUCUCGUUCUUUUUUUGCUCGUAGAGUGCGGCUCGAAUAAGAGUAUCGUUUUCGGUGUAAGAAUACUAUCAUCUGCCUCUUUUCUGGUUGCUUGGUAUCACAUAAACAUUAGUACUACAUGAUUGCCUUUGUGAUGUCCCUUCAGGUGCAAAUUAUCUUCCUACCGGUUAGGCGGGCAUUGGAUCAUUUGUCACAUUCAGCUUUGGAUGCAAAUGGCUAAAGGCGGCCCCGAAAGGUUGUGUCCAGCUUACCUCACGAUGCACUGGGAAUUCAAGCCGACGCUGGAUUUGCCCAAUUUUUCCCGCAGGCCAUCGAAAGCUCCGCUGAAUCGGAUCGUGCGGGGAGCGGGACAGGAUGGAAGUAACUUCACCCAAGGAACAAUUGCAUGCUGUAUUUCCAGACUGCAGGAACCACGAGGGGGGCCAAGGGGCAAAGGAGGGAGGAACGGGAGGUGCAUCCACAGCCCUGAAUAUUAUUGAAUCCGGUCAAGUGGCUGCUGAUGACAGCGAUCAACAGGCCACAUUGAAAGAAUUCCACAUGAUCGGCUGCUUUGGAGGAGGAGAAGGCCAAGUCGGCCAGUCCAACGGCGCCAUGCUGGACCCCGUGCCACGCCAUCCAAAUUCCUCUUGCAGAAAAGAAACGCACCGACCUGGCCGCCCACAUCCGACCCGUCAUCCUCCACGGCGCCUCAAGAAAUUAUAACCAAGCUGUUCUUAUAAAACCCGAGGCAGGUGAUGUUCAUGGAAUUCACGGAUUAUCCUGACGAACCGCGGCGCCGAAAGAAAGAAAGAAAGAAAGGGGAGAAAUCGAUGGGUUUGGUUGGAGGCGAAUGGUGAUGACAUGGAUGUGUGAAGAGAAGCUUAUCAUCAGAGCCCCUAGCCGCCCCGGUGCCCCAGUGCCCGAGUGGCUCCAUCAGAUCCGAGUCAGCAUCGUACGUAGAUGCCUAAAACUCUGGAGAUAAAAGAAGAUGAGAGGUUGAUGUUUUGUUUGCUGGCACUGUUGGCUUUUGCCCCCCUGGAAUAUAAGCGGCCGUCACUCGCAUCGCAUCACAUGGUCCUCCAUGCUAUCCUGCUCCACUUGCUAAUUAGCAGCCGCCAAAGUGUUACCCCUACAGUUUUAGUUAACACUGCUGGAUUAACAAGUUAGCUAAUCUCCGCAUACGAUGAUUCUCCAGACAUCAUCACCUGGAAUGAAAAAUAACAGUACAAGUAAUAACAAUAACAACAACAAUAAUGGAAGGUCGAAUCGGAGACGGGAGGAGGGACUCGUCUGGACGAAAGGAACAGGAGAAGCCAGAGUAUUAUUUUAGAUUUCGCAAAAAAAAAGAGUAUUAUUUUAGCCUGUGAUGAUGGGAGAAGAGGAGUUGGCGAUCUUGGCAUGCACCGGCCGCGCAGAAAGGCGUCUUGGCAUGUUGUGCCGCCAAAGCCCUGGCCACCUACGGAAGUGAUGGGGCAUCGUCACGUCUUGUCAUCCGCGAGUGUGAACCGUCAGUUCGUCCCGGCGAUCUGAG